UCCGGUUCGGUUCGGUUCGGUUCGGGCUGGAUCCGGUUCAGGCUCCGGUUCUGGUCAAAUCCACCCCCGGGUCUCGGUCCGGUUCUGGUCCCUAACCCGGAUCCGCUCCGUGAUCCAGUCCCGGGCUUUGAACCGGUCCGGGUCCGAUCCAGUUCCAGUCUGGAUCCGGAUCCGAUCCGGCUCCUGCUCCUGCUCCAGUCCGGGUUGUGCCGAUCUCCGCUCCCGGUCCGGUCCGGUCCCGAUCCGGUCCGGUCCCGAUCCGGUCCGGUCCAAUCCCGAUCCGGUCCGGUCCCGAUCCGGUCCGGUCCAAUCCCGAUCCGGUCCAAUCCCGAUCCGGUCCGGUCCAAUCCCGAUCCGGUCCGGUGCCGAUCCGGUCCGGUCCAAUCCCGAUCCGGUCCGGUCCGGUCCCGAUCCGGUGCCGCUCUUUAUAGCGGCCCGAGAGCAUCACCGGGUCACGUGACACCCCCCCCCCAAUCCCACGGGACUGGGACAAACUGGGACAAACUGGGACAAACUGGGGCGGACUGGGGACACCGCUCCUGGCGUUACUGGUGUCCCUGGGGUCUGUACUGGGGUCUGCACUGGUUAUACUGCUUUUACUGGUGUCUGUACUGGUUAUACUGGUGUCACUGGUGUCCGUACUGGUGUCUGUACUGGUUAUACUGGUGUCACUGGUGUCCGUACUGGUGUCACCGCUGUCCCCUCACCGCCCCUCCCCCCAGCCGGGCCAAGGGCGCCGCGGUCGCGCCCAGUCGAUACUGGGCGCGUCCCAGUCCAUACUGGGAGGGUGCCAAUCCAUACUGGGAGGUGCCAAUCCAUACUGGGAGGGUCCCAGCCCAUACUGGGAGGGUCCCAGCCCAUACUGGGAGGGUGCCAAUCCAUACUGGGAGGGUCCCAGCCCAUACUGGGGGGUGUCAAUCCAUACUGGGAGGUGCCAAUCCAUACUGGGAGGGUCCCAGUCCAUACUGGGGGGUGCCAAUCCAUACUGGGAGGGUCCCAGCCCAUACUGGGAGGGUGCCAAUCCAUACUGGGAGGGUCCCAGCCCAUACUGGGAGGGUCCCAGUCCAUACUGGGAGGGUCCCAGCCCAUACUGGGGGGUGCCAAUCCAUACUGGGAGGGUUCCAGCCCAUACUGGGGGGUGCCAAUCCAUACUGGGAGGGUCCCAAUCCAUACUGGGAGGGUCCCAGUGCAGCCCCAGGGCGUUUCCAUGAGGCAGCGGUCGCGGGGGGGGCCGGGGGGGGCCGGACCAUUGAGGGGUCCGGGGGGGGUUCGGUGGUCAGGGAGCGAUUUUGGGGGGAUUUGAGGGAUUUGGGGCGGUUUUCAGAGAUUUGGGAGAGUUUUGAGGAACUUCAGGGAGUUUUAAGGGAUUUCAGGGAGUUAUGA
This 1383-nucleotide long non-coding RNA is filed under the name Taeniopygia guttata (zebra finch). RNAcentral's name for it is "lncRNA (ENSTGUG00000024988.1)". Lineage: Eukaryota; Metazoa; Chordata; Aves; Passeriformes; Estrildidae. The record is from RNAcentral.